ACAGAUUUUGCAGGUUUGUCCCUUAUUGUUUUAAAACCCUGAAACCACCAUAAGGUGAAAUUUAAGCCAAGCCUAAUAGAGAAUGGAAGGUUAACUAUAGGAAAACCAAGGAGCUCCUGCUCAUAGCCAAAUGAAAUAGCAAAAACUUUGAUUGAUACCAUGUCAGAACCUCCAGCUUGAGUGUAGUCAUCAAAAGACUGCAGCCACAUGAGUGAUCUCAGGAAGAACCAGCAGAAGAACUUCCCACACUGCUAAGGUCAGGUGGCAAGUGGAGAGUGGAAGAGAAGCAGGGAGACACAAUGUUUGGACCAGCCCAGGAUCCCUCACUCACA
This 332-nucleotide long non-coding RNA is filed under the name Homo sapiens (human). Its description in RNAcentral is "HSALNT0244638". The record is from RNAcentral. Lineage: Eukaryota; Metazoa; Chordata; Mammalia; Primates; Hominidae.